UGUCAAUGCUCGUAAGAGUGAACUAGCUAACUGAAAUCUUAAAGUCAUUUAAUAAUGGUAUUUAAGAUAACGUAAGGGAAAAAAAUGAUAGUACCUUACUAUAAGUGUUGUCUAACAUUACUGGUGCCAGAAGACUCGGUAACGCCAGAAACGCAAACGUUAGUCGUCCUAAACAGGCGUAAAGGGUAAGUAGGCUGCUUUAACAGUUAUGAAUUAGAAAGCUCUUUAAAUUUUAAAGCAAUUUAUAAUGAAUUAAAGCUAGAAUCAAAUAGAGGAUAAUGAAUAUAAUGAAUUGAGUAAGAAUGAUAUCUUUAGAUACUUUUCAGAAUACUUAAGGUGAAAACUUUUAUCUACUAUUGAUUGACGCUGAGGAACGAAGGUGAGAAUAGAAAACAGGAUUAGAGACCCUGGUAUCUCUCACUGUCAACGAUGAAUGGUGGUUGUUAGUUUAAGGUAAACUAGUAACGAUGUUAACGCGAUAACCAUUCCGCCUUGCGAGUACGGUUGCAAAACU
Molecule: ribosomal RNA, 514 nt
Filed under: Lepiota cristata
Lineage: Eukaryota; Fungi; Basidiomycota; Agaricomycetes; Agaricales; Agaricaceae
Description: partial small subunit ribosomal RNA
Rfam family: Bacterial small subunit ribosomal RNA
Source: RNAcentral